Molecule: ribosomal RNA, 332 nt
Filed under: uncultured eukaryote
Lineage: Eukaryota
Description: partial 18S ribosomal RNA
Rfam family: Eukaryotic small subunit ribosomal RNA
Source: RNAcentral
CCCUUAGAUGUUCUGGGCCGCACGCGCGCUACACUGAUGCAUUCAACGAGUAAUCUUUGACCUUGGUCGACAGAUCUGGGUAAUCUUUUGAAAUUGCAUCGUGAUGGGGCUUGCGGGUUGCAAUUACCCGCACCAACGAGGAAUUCCUAGUAAACGCAAGUCAUCAACUUGCAUUGAUUACGUCCCUGCCCUUUGUACACACCGCCCGUCGCACCUACCGAUUGAGUGGUCCGGUGAAGACCUCGGACUGUGGCUGCGGUUGCUUGAUUGCGACUGUGUGCUGUGGGAAGUUGUCUAAAUCUUAUCACUUAGAGGAAGGUGAAGUCGUAACA